AUGAAGUAUAUCCGAGAGAUUGCGGAGUGCAAACCGAAGAAAAAUCUACGGGAAGUACCUCCAAAUAUUGUACGCUUGCAUCAAAGAUGGAUUCCGCCACCGCCAGGAAUAGUGAAGAUCGGAGUGGAUGGGGCUGUUUCACGAGAUGGUAUGCAUGGACCUUUUAGUGUUGUUUGCAGGAACUCAACAGGAAACUACAUGGGUGCUUCUGUCAUUAAGAUCCAUGGAAUAGCGGACCCGGCGACGCUGGAAGCUUUAGCCUGCGGCUAGGCAUUGGCACUUGCAUCAGACUUGGGCCUGACAUACAACACCAUUGCAUCUGAUUACCAAGGAGUGGUCAACAAUAUUAACCUCCACAUGGGGGGAGCUUAUGCUAGCACCGUAAAGGAGAUUACGGAGACGGCGAAGUUUUUUGCCCACUGUACCUUCAUCCUUGAGGGGAGGGCUACAAAUAUUGAGGCACACAGCCUCGCUAAACAUGCUUUCGGUUUGGACUAUGGGCGCCAUGUGUGGCUGCUAAACCCUCCAGGCCUUCUUUGUAUCCCUUUAAACAUUAUUGAGCAAUAA
Molecule: ribosomal RNA, 567 nt
Filed under: Triticum aestivum (bread wheat)
Lineage: Eukaryota; Viridiplantae; Streptophyta; Magnoliopsida; Poales; Poaceae
Description: partial small subunit ribosomal RNA
Source: RNAcentral